This 617-nucleotide small RNA is filed under the name Histoplasma capsulatum var. duboisii H88. RNAcentral's name for it is "Histoplasma capsulatum H88 hypothetical RNA". The record is from RNAcentral. Lineage: Eukaryota; Fungi; Ascomycota; Eurotiomycetes; Onygenales; Ajellomycetaceae.
CUGCAUUUCUCUUUCUGGUUUCUAUGGUUUCCUUUUUGCUUUUUACUCCUAUCUCUGCGCCUUUGCGAGAGAUAUAGUGAUACACAGCUGUUCUCCUGAUGCGGAGGAGGUAGAAAAACCUAUUUGACUACUGAUACCACUUUUUUCUGAGGGAUAUUAUGGCCUCCUCAUGGAUUUACCAGUUGCCUCCUAUUGUCAUUCAGUUUCGGUGGAGAGGAACAGAUAACACCCCGGCUAAUCACAUUUUGGAAACAGGAUGCCUGCACAGCGCUCCUAGCUUCGCAACGGUUUAUCUACUCCGCAGCGUAAAGUUGAUCAAGGGUUGUUGAUCACUAUUUCCUUCGAAGCUUGGAAAUUUCCUUUGUUUCGGGUGCUGUCGAUGUCAUUUUUGUCACACGGGAGAGUGUUCUGUAUAUAAGAGACGGCCAAGAAGCACCUGGACAUACUUCACCGUCUUCUCUUCCUUCCUUCCCUCCUUCCCUUGUUCAUCUGACAUACAGUCUUUUUCGUGACGUAUCCAACCUUCAUUUAUCUUUUUGACAAAGAAUACCACGCUCUUUUACUGCUCCCCAGCCGUCCAUUCGGAACUCACGUAUAUACGCUUGUUGAUUCUCGCA